RNAcentral lists this ribosomal RNA (865 nucleotides) under Bacillus licheniformis. RNAcentral describes it as "bacterial SSU rRNA". It matches the Rfam family "Bacterial small subunit ribosomal RNA", at positions 18 to 864 of the family's 1533-position model. Lineage: Bacteria; Bacillati; Bacillota; Bacilli; Caryophanales; Bacillaceae. The record is from RNAcentral.
CCUGGCUCAGGACGAACGCUGGCGGCGUGCCUAAUACAUGCAAGUCGAGCGGACCGACGGGAGCUUGCUCCCUUAGGUCAGCGGCGGACGGGUGAGUAACACGUGGGUAACCUGCCUGUAAGACUGGGAUAACUCCGGGAAACCGGGGCUAAUACCGGAUGCUUGAUUGAACCGCAUGGUUCAAUCAUAAAAGGUGGCUUUUAGCUACCACUUACAGAUGGACCCGCGGCGCAUUAGCUAGUUGGUGAGGUAACGGCUCACCAAGGCGACGAUGCGUAGCCGACCUGAGAGGGUGAUCGGCCACACUGGGACUGAGACACGGCCCAGACUCCUACGGGAGGCAGCAGUAGGGAAUCUUCCGCAAUGGACGAAAGUCUGACGGAGCAACGCCGCGUGAGUGAUGAAGGUUUUCGGAUCGUAAAACUCUGUUGUUAGGGAAGAACAAGUACCGUUCGAAUAGGGCGGCACCUUGACGGUACCUAACCAGAAAGCCACGGCUAACUACGUGCCAGCAGCCGCGGUAAUACGUAGGUGGCAAGCGUUGUCCGGAAUUAUUGGGCGUAAAGCGCGCGCAGGCGGUUUCUUAAGUCUGAUGUGAAAGCCCCCGGCUCAACCGGGGAGGGUCAUUGGAAACUGGGGAACUUGAGUGCAGAAGAGGAGAGUGGAAUUCCACGUGUAGCGGUGAAAUGCGUAGAGAUGUGGAGGAACACCAGUGGCGAAGGCGACUCUCUGGUCUGUAACUGACGCUGAGGCGCGAAAGCGUGGGGAGCGAACAGGAUUAGAUACCCUGGUAGUCCACGCCGUAAACGAUGAGUGCUAAGUGUUAGAGGGUUUCCGCCCUUUAGUGCUGCAGCAAACGCAUAAG